Long non-coding RNA from Panicum virgatum (switchgrass), 1092 nucleotides. RefSeq lists it as uncharacterized. The transcript is spliced from 2 exons. Lineage: Eukaryota; Viridiplantae; Streptophyta; Magnoliopsida; Poales; Poaceae. The record is from RefSeq and is a predicted model, not a curated record.
CUGCUCCUCUGUUCCCCGUACUGCGCCCAUGCCGGCGCCCCGGCACAGCACCGAUGACCACCACGCGUCGCCGCCCCGGCAAACCUCGUGCUGUACCUCGAGCGCGUCCUUAUCCUCCCGCGGCACCCUAUCCUCUCCCGAGCUUCUUGUUUCCUUUCCCCUUUCCCUUCUUCCUCCUCGAGCUCAGUUGAGCUGAGCCGAGCAGAGCUACCACCGGCGCUGGCCGGCCAUUCCCCGCCGUCCCGCUUUGAUUCCUCGCGCCCAAACUGCUCGACCUCGUUCUCCACCUCCGCCGCCCCUCCCCAAACCCGUUCGAGCCGUUCCCUGUCCGAAUCGGACCCCGCCACCACCGGCCGCCACUGCUCCUCUGCCGGGCAGCCGCCCCCGCACGUCGAGUUCAACCCUCCGGUCCUCCUCCCCCCAAAUCGAGUACCCGGUGAGCAGCACCGCACCACCAUCGACCUCUCCAGCCCCUUUCCCGGCCAUCUUGCUUGCCGCGCCGCCGGAAACACAGCCCCGCCGCCGCGGCCAGAGCUGCCAUGGCCGCCAAGCCCGAGCUCGCGUGGCAGCGCCCCUUGCCUCCCUUUCAGCGCCCUAGAACCCGAGCCUAGGUCCCUCGUAGGCACCUGCAGUCCCACGCCGCCCCCGUGUCCUCACUGGCAGUGGCGAGCGUGCCGCCGCCCCCCAGCCGCUAGCGCUGCCAUGCGCUCAUCUCUGGUCGCCUCAGCACAAGAUGCUCCAACACGGUGGCUCCUCCAUGUGCUGGUGCUCUUCUCCAGCACUGCAACACAUCCAUACGCAGUCAGCAGCAGCAGGUACGCUAGAUGUGCAAUGCGUAAGCAUGUGCUGACGGACCGAACCACAAGACAGUGUUUGGUGAACAUAUCCCGAAGAGAGAAGGACCAACUGGAGCAACCGUGGACUCGGCUCAAGGUUGGAAGGGACCAAGGCCUUGAUAGUACUAACACUAGUUUAGUGUUACUCCCAGGCAAGCCCUGGAGCAUGACCCUUAAUUUUAGUAUUCCAUGUUUAUUAAUUAAUUAUUGUGCAUUUACGUUUCUAGGAGUUGAUUGGAACCCUAAAUGCAUGAUC